This 163-nucleotide ribosomal RNA is filed under the name Heptapleurum oxyphyllum. RNAcentral's name for it is "Schefflera oxyphylla 5.8S ribosomal RNA". It matches the Rfam family "5.8S ribosomal RNA". From Rfam's summary of the family: 5.8S ribosomal RNA (5.8S rRNA) is a component of the large subunit of the eukaryotic ribosome. RNAcentral also lists the same sequence under 4 other names. Lineage: Eukaryota; Viridiplantae; Streptophyta; Magnoliopsida; Apiales; Araliaceae. The record is from RNAcentral.
AACGACUCUCGGCAACGGAUAUCUCGGCUCUCGCAUCGAUGAAGAACGUAGCGAAAUGCGAUACUUGGUGUGAAUUGCAGAAUCCCGUGAACCAUCGAGUCUUUGAACGCAAGUUGCGCCCGAAGCCACUAGGUUGAGGGCACGUCUGCCUGGGCGUCACGCA